Molecule: long non-coding RNA, 304 nt
Filed under: Salvia miltiorrhiza (redroot sage)
Lineage: Eukaryota; Viridiplantae; Streptophyta; Magnoliopsida; Lamiales; Lamiaceae
Description: long non-coding RNA (SMIL_LNC014270)
Source: RNAcentral
AAUUAAAAAAAAAAAAAAAAAAAAAAAAAAAAAAAACGAAAUACGGCGAAAAGGGGCAGCCAAAUCAACAAUUCCCCUGAUAAUCUACCAACUCCAGCGCAGUCUAUUUUCAUGUAGCAACAAGCAUCACCUCUGCCUUCGGAUAAAUGCUUAAGAGGUUCGAAAUUCUGUAACAACAAGCAUCACCUCCGCCUCCAGAGAGAGAGAGAGAUCGGAGGCGGCAGUUACGGAGAUUGUCGAGAGAAAGAGGCCAGCGGAAUGCAGGCGGGCGAUUUGGUGCUCCUUGAGUGGCGGUGGCGUUAGG